Molecule: long non-coding RNA, 630 nt
Filed under: Betta splendens (Siamese fighting fish)
Lineage: Eukaryota; Metazoa; Chordata; Actinopteri; Anabantiformes; Osphronemidae
Description: lncRNA (ENSBSLG00000006362.1)
Source: RNAcentral
AUGUGUGGUUUUCACUCUCCAUCAGCAAACGCUGUGUUUUCUGGGCGUGUCGCAAGCGAAGCUGCUCACCACACCUCUGUGCGGAAGCGCACACCUUUUUUGUUGUUGUUUUUUUUUUUAAAUUGGCUCCAUGGAUACGAGCCACCGCACGGCAAUCCUCCACAGAAGAAGAAGACCCACUACAGAACUGCACGACAUUAGUCAGCUGGUUCGUAGCGUAGUAGAACCAUACGUCUACGAUCCCGAAUCUGACCCUGAAGCUGAAGAGGAGGCUGUUGAAGUCACCACAUUUCGGCUGAUGCAAGAUGUGUCUCAUUGUUGUUACAGGUAUCUAGUCUACAGAGGCUAGUGAGCUGGUGCUGGGGAUUCCUGGGUUGAAGAAUGUGAGUCGCCAUAUCUUCAUGCUUGGGUUGUAGAUGAAGGCAGUUGUAUGAUGGAUGUAGACCACCUGUGGAAUAACUCCUUUACCAUUUGAGUAGAAAUGUGUUUUUUGUGAGUGCAAUACUCAUUAAGAAUUUUUUUUAAUUCAUAUGUUUUUUUAUUUAUGGCCGGUUCACCUUUAUAGCUUACCAUAAAAACAUAUAAUUUCAAUACUAUGAUUUCUUGAAUAAAAGUGUUUUCCCCAGUUCA